RNAcentral lists this ribosomal RNA (235 nucleotides) under uncultured bacterium. RNAcentral describes it as "partial 16S ribosomal RNA". It matches the Rfam family "Bacterial small subunit ribosomal RNA", at positions 96 to 334 of the family's 1533-position model. The record is from RNAcentral.
UGGCGGACGGGUGAGUAAUGUCUGGGAAACUGCCCGAUGGAGGGGGAUAACUACUGGAAACGGUAGCUAAUACCGCAUAACGUCGCAAGACCAAAGAGGGGGACCUUAGGGCCUCUUGCCAUCGGAUGUGCCCAGAUGGGAUUAGCUAGUAGGUGGGGUAAUGGCUCACCUAGGCGACGAUCCCUAGCUGGUCCGAGAGGAUGACCAGCCACACUGGAACUGAGACACGGUCCAG